Molecule: ribosomal RNA, 723 nt
Filed under: Acinetobacter sp.
Lineage: Bacteria; Pseudomonadati; Pseudomonadota; Gammaproteobacteria; Moraxellales; Moraxellaceae
Description: bacterial SSU rRNA
Rfam family: Bacterial small subunit ribosomal RNA
Source: RNAcentral
AUCUCGAAAGGGAUGCUAAUACCGCAUACGUCCUACGGGAGAAAGCAGGGGAUCACUUGUGACCUUGCGCUAAUAGAUGAGCCUAAGUCGGAUUAGCUAGUUGGUGGGGUAAAGGCCUACCAAGGCGACGAUCUGUAGCGGGUCUGAGAGGAUGAUCCGCCACACUGGGACUGAGACACGGCCCAGACUCCUACGGGAGGCAGCAGUGGGGAAUAUUGGACAAUGGGGGGAACCCUGAUCCAGCCAUGCCGCGUGUGUGAAGAAGGCCUUAUGGUUGUAAAGCACUUUAAGCGAGGAGGAGGCUUACCUAGUUAAUACCUGGGAUAAGUGGACGUUACUCGCAGAAUAAGCACCGGCUAACUCUGUGCCAGCAGCCGCGGUAAUACAGAGGGUGCAAGCGUUAAUCGGAUUUACUGGGCGUAAAGCGCGCGUAGGCGGCCAAUUAAGUCAAAUGUGAAAUCCCCGAGCUUAACUUGGGAAUUGCAUUCGAUACUGGUUGGCUAGAGUGUGGGAGAGGAUGGUAGAAUUCCAGGUGUAGCGGUGAAAUGCGUAGAGAUCUGGAGGAAUACCGAUGGCGAAGGCAGCCAUCUGGCCUAACACUGACGCUGAGGUGCGAAAGCAUGGGGAGCAAACAGGAUUAGAUACCCUGGUAGUCCAUGCCGUAAACGAUGUCUACUAGCCGUUGGGGCCUUUGAGGCUUUAGUGGCGCAGCUAACGCGAUAA